GACGAACGCUGGCGGCGUGCCUAAUACAUGCAAGUAGAACGCUGAAGGAGGAGCUUGCUUCUCUGGAUGAGUUGCGAACGGGUGAGUAACGCGUAGGUAACCUGCCUGGUAGCGGGGGAUAACUAUUGGAAACGAUAGCUAAUACCGCAUAAUAUUGACUAUUGCAUGAUAGUCAGUUGAAAGGUGCAACUGCACCACUACCAGAUGGACCUGCGUUGUAUUAGCUAGUUGGUGGGGUAACGGCUCACCAAGGCGACGAUACAUAGCCCGCCUGAGAGGGGGAUCGGCCACACUGGGACUGGGACCCGGCCCAGAAUCCCUAGGGAGGCAGCAGGAGGGGAACUUCGGCAAUGGACGGAAGUCUGACCGAGGAAAGCCGCGUGAGUGAAGAAGGUUUUCGGAUCGUAAAGCUCUUUUGUAAGAGAAGAAAGAGUGUGGGAGUGGAAAGCUCACACUGUGACGGUAUCUUACCAGAAAGAGACGGCUAACUACGUG
RNAcentral lists this ribosomal RNA (495 nucleotides) under uncultured bacterium. Its description in RNAcentral is "partial 16S ribosomal RNA". It matches the Rfam family "Bacterial small subunit ribosomal RNA", at positions 28 to 507 of the family's 1533-position model. The record is from RNAcentral.